RNAcentral lists this small nuclear RNA (21 nucleotides) under Arabidopsis thaliana (thale cress). Its description in RNAcentral is "snRNA_10453". Lineage: Eukaryota; Viridiplantae; Streptophyta; Magnoliopsida; Brassicales; Brassicaceae. The record is from RNAcentral.
AUGGUUUGUCCGCUUGGAUCG